This 357-nucleotide RNase P RNA is filed under the name human gut metagenome. Its description in RNAcentral is "Bacterial RNase P class A". It matches the Rfam family "Bacterial RNase P class A". Rfam says of the family: Ribonuclease P (RNase P) is a ubiquitous endoribonuclease, found in archaea, bacteria and eukarya as well as chloroplasts and mitochondria. Its best characterised activity is the generation of mature 5'-ends of tRNAs by cleaving the 5'-leader elements of precursor-tRNAs. The record is from RNAcentral.
GAGCAGACGAUCGCGGCCAUGGCGUACUGCGCCAUGGGUGAGGAAAGUCCGGGCUUCACAGGGCAGGAUGCCGGCUAACGGCCGGCGGAGGCAACUCCCGGGAAAGUGCAGCAGAAAACAGACCGCCGCGAAAGCGGUAAGGGUGAAAUGGCGGUGUAAGAGACCACCGUUUUCUCAGUAAUGAGAAAAGCCGUGUAAACCCCAUCCGAAGCAAGACCAAGAACUCCGGCACUGCCGGAGGUGAGGACCACGAACCGGCCCGGUUCAUCCUCAGGUAGGUCGCUUGAUGCUGCCGGCAACGGCAGUACUAGAAAGAUGAUCGUCCAACGACAGAACCCGGCUUAUCGCUCUGCUUCU